RNAcentral lists this ribosomal RNA (253 nucleotides) under uncultured bacterium. Its description in RNAcentral is "partial 16S ribosomal RNA". It matches the Rfam family "Bacterial small subunit ribosomal RNA", at positions 524 to 776 of the family's 1533-position model. The record is from RNAcentral.
UACGGAGGGUGCGAGCGUUGUUCGGAAUCACUGGGCGUAAAGCGCGUGUAGGCGGCUUCUUAAGUCUGGUGUGAAAGCCCGGGGCUUACCCCCGGAAGGGCACUGGAAACUGGGGAGCUGGAGUACCGGAGAGGAGGGUGGAAUUCCUGGUGUAGCGGUGAAAUGCGCAGAUAUCAGGAAGAACACCCGUGGCGAAGGCGGCUCUCUGGACAGUUCCUGACGCUGAGGCACGAAGGUCAGGGGAGCAAACGGG